GGCGUGACGGUAUCCAACCAGAAAGCCACGGCUAACUACGUGCCAGCAGCCGCGGUAAUACGUAGGUGGCAAGCGUUAUCCGGAUUUAUUGGGCGUAAAGCGAGCGCAGGCGGUUUUUUAAGUCUGAUGUGAAAGCCCUCGGCUUAACCGAGGAAGCGCAUCGGAAACUGGGAAACUUGAGUGCAGAAGAGGACAGUGGAACUCCAUGUGUAGCGGUGAAAUGCGUAGAUAUAUGGAAGAACACCAGUGGCGAAGGCGGCUGUCUGGUCUGUAACUGACGCUGAGGCUCGAAAGCAUGGGUAGCGAACAGGAUUAGAUACCCUGGUAGUCCAUGCCGUAAACGAUGAAUGCUAGGUGUUGGAGGGUUUCCGCCCUUCAGUGCCGCAGCUAACGCAUUAAGCAUUCCGCCUGGGGAGUACGACCGCAAGGUUGAAACUCAAAGGAAUUGACGGGGGCCCGCACAAGCGGUGGAGCAUGUGGUUUAAUUCGAAGCAACGCGAAGAACCUUACCAGGUCUUGACAUCUUUUGAUCACCUGAGAGAUCAGGUUUCCCCUUCGGGGGCAAAAUGACAGGUGGUGCAUGGUUGUCGUCAGCUCGUGUCGUGAGAUGUUGGGUUAAGUCCCGCAACGAGCGCAACCCUUAUGACUAGUUGCCAGCAUUUAGUUGGGCACUCUAGUAAGACUGCCGGUGACAAACCGGAGGAAGGUGGGGAUGACGUCAAAUCAUCAUGCCCCUUAUGACCUGGGCUACACACGUGCUACAAUGGAUGGUACAACGAGUUGCGAGACCGCGAGGUCAAGCUAAUCUCUUAAAGCCAUUCUCAGUUCGGACUGUAGGCUGCAACUCGCCUACACGAAGUCGGAAUCGCUAGUAAUCGCGGAUCAGCACGCCGCGGUGAAUACGUUCCCGGGCCUUGUACACACCGCCCGUCACACCAUGAGAGUUUGUAACACCCGAAGCCGGUGGCGUAACCCUUUUAGGGAGCGAGCCGUCUAAGGUGGGACAAAUGAUUAGGGUGAAGUCGUAACAAGGUAGCCGUAGGAGAACCUGCGGCUGGAUCACCUCCUUUCUAAGGAA
RNAcentral lists this ribosomal RNA (1078 nucleotides) under Lacticaseibacillus casei. RNAcentral's name for it is "bacterial SSU rRNA". It matches the Rfam family "Bacterial small subunit ribosomal RNA", at positions 466 to 1533 of the family's 1533-position model. Lineage: Bacteria; Bacillati; Bacillota; Bacilli; Lactobacillales; Lactobacillaceae. The record is from RNAcentral.